Molecule: small nuclear RNA, 22 nt
Filed under: Arabidopsis thaliana (thale cress)
Lineage: Eukaryota; Viridiplantae; Streptophyta; Magnoliopsida; Brassicales; Brassicaceae
Description: snRNA_14410
Source: RNAcentral
AUUUCACUCACGAACACGAAUU